CCUACGGGAGGCAGCAGUGGGGGAAUUUUGGACAAUGGGGGCGAACCCCUGAUCCAGCCAUUCCGCGUGAGUGAAGAAGGCCUUCGGGUUGUAAAGCUCUUUCGCAAGGGAAGAAAACUUAUGAUCGAAUAAAUCAUGAGGUUGACGGUACCUUGAUAAGAAGCACCGGCUAACUACGUGCCAGCAGCCGCGGUAAUACGUAGGGUGCGAGCGUUAAUCGGAAUUACUGGGCGUAAAGCGUGCGCAGGCGGUUUUGUAAGUCGGGAUGUGAAAUCCCCGGGCUCAACCUGGGAACUGCGUUCGAAACUGCAAGGCUAGAGUGUGUCAGAGGGGGGUAGAAUUCCACGUGUAGCAGUGAAAUGCGUAGAGAUGUGGAGGAAUACCAAUGGCGAAGGCAGCCCCCCUGGGAUAACACUGACGCUCAUGCACGAAAGCGUGGGGAGCAAACAGGAUUAGAUACCCUGGUAGUCCACGCCCUAAACGAUGUCAACUAGUUGUUGGUAGAGUAAAACUCUAUGAGUAACCGUAGCUAACGCGUGAAGUUGACCGCCUGGGGAGUACGGUCGCAAGGNUUAAAACGUUCAAAAGUGUUAGUUACGGAGNGNGAGNGCGACGACGACGACGAGGAGGAGGAG
This 635-nucleotide ribosomal RNA is filed under the name uncultured bacterium. RNAcentral describes it as "bacterial SSU rRNA". It matches the Rfam family "Bacterial small subunit ribosomal RNA", at positions 338 to 1331 of the family's 1533-position model. The record is from RNAcentral.